UUCAGUACAAAUAAUAUGCUGGUGAGUUUAUUGCCGCGAAAGGACAAUUNACCCUCUUGCAAGCUUUAUAGGGAUGAAAUCUAGUACACAUCCAGGCGUUUAUAAGCUGAUGGCCCCAAGAAGCGAGACGAUGACGAUAAAGAGCCAGAAGAUGCAGCGUGGUAAACACAACACUGUUUAAUUGGGGCGAUAACCGUGUGAAAUUG
This 206-nucleotide ribosomal RNA is filed under the name Symbiodinium sp. clade A. RNAcentral describes it as "partial 23S ribosomal RNA". The record is from RNAcentral. Lineage: Eukaryota; Dinophyceae; Suessiales; Symbiodiniaceae.